This is a long non-coding RNA of Herpailurus yagouaroundi (jaguarundi), 632 nucleotides long. RefSeq lists it as uncharacterized. Lineage: Eukaryota; Metazoa; Chordata; Mammalia; Carnivora; Felidae. The record is from RefSeq and is a predicted model, not a curated record. The transcript is spliced from 2 exons.
GCAUUUUCAGAAAUACCAUAUUAGUGUCACAGAGAGCUGGGCUCAAGCUCCCACUGUGACCUCAAAGGGCCAAGUCAUGUGGCUGGUAACGGGAUGGGUGGGGGGGAAGGGGGAAGGCCUAAUGAUAGUCCUGUCCUUGCUAGCUCUGCCCAUUUUGGCGUCAGAAUGUCCCCUCCAGGGGUUGCCCCUGGAGGGGUUGACAAAUGGCCAGGUGACUCUCACCUGGAGAACUGUUCAGCUUUUGGGGCUUCUUAAGGGCUGGGGAGGACCCUGAGGCAGGGUGGAGGGUGGUGGGCAGCAGUCAGCGGCUGCAGCAUCUGACCCCAGGAGAGAACAAGAGAAAGAGAAGCAGAGCAAGUGGGAGAGAACUCACUCCGCGCGCUCUCCUGGACUUCUUCCAGACCCCCAGCCGCAGAAACAGCUUUCCUUCUGCCAGCUCUCCACGGCACAUGGAGCAUCAUGAUUCACUCGGCCCACAGUCUAAUAACCACCUGUCCACGAUGGCAGCCGCCAGCCACACGUGGCUAUGAAGCACGUGAAAAGUGGCCCAUCCCAACUGAGACGACCCAGAAGCGUGAAAUACACUCAAAGAGCUAGUAUGAAAAAAAAAAAAAUGUACAGUAUCCCAUUAA